GCCAGUGUAGCUCAGUGGUAGAGCGCUCGCCUUGUAAGCGAGGGGUCACGGGUUCGAGCCCCGUCACUGGCU
This 72-nucleotide transfer RNA is filed under the name Gemmatimonadales bacterium. RNAcentral describes it as "tRNA-Thr". It matches the Rfam family "tRNA". From Rfam's summary of the family: Transfer RNA (tRNA) molecules are approximately 80 nucleotides in length. The record is from RNAcentral. Lineage: Bacteria; Pseudomonadati; Gemmatimonadota; Gemmatimonadia; Gemmatimonadales.